UGGCUCGAAGACGGAGAUAACUGCUGGAAACGGAACCUAAUACCCGAUGGUCUCGAUAAUUCGAGAUUGCCGAGUAAAGGCUCCGGCGCGUUGAGAGGAGACCUGUGGACCAUCAGCUCGUUCGUAGGGUAACGGCCUACCUUGUCGAAGACGGGUAGGCGGUCGUGAUAGCGUGACCCCCCGACACUGGCUCUGGCACACGGUCCUCACUCCUACGGGCGGCAGCCGCGCGGAAUAUCGCGCAAUGAGCGAAAUGCUAAACGCGCCAAGCGCGCGCGUGGGUGAUGAAGGCCUUCGGCGCUCAGUCAAAACCCUUUUCUGGGGGAACGAUUAAGGACGGGUACCCCAGGAAUAACCUUGGUCUAACUAUGUGCUACUACCCCGGUAAUACAUAGGGACGGCAAGCGUUAUCGCGGAUGUACUGGGCGUAAAGAGCGUUGAGACGGCUUCCUAAGUUGCACGUGAAAGCUCCCGGCUUAACUGGGAGAGCCCGUUCAAUACUUGCGGGGCUUGAGGACAGCAGAGCGGGGUGGAAUUUCCGGAGUAGUGGCUGAAAUGCGUAGAUAUCGGAAGGAACACCAGUGGCGAAGGCGGCCCCCUGGGCUGCUCCUGACGCUGAAGGUGAAAGUUAGGUUAGCGAACGGGAUUAGAAACCCCGCGUAGUCCUAGCCGUAAACGAUGGAUACUAGGUGUAGGAGGUUCAAACUCCUUCUGUGCCGGAGAUAACGCGUUAAGUAUCCCGCAUGGGGAGUACGAUCGCAAGGCUAAUACUCAAAGGAAUUGACGGGGGCCCGCACAAGCAGCGGAGCGUGUGAUUUAUAUUCGAUGCAACGCGAAGAACCUUACCAGGGCUUGACAUGUAGGUAGUAGUGAAGCGAUAGCAGAACGAUCCUUCGGGAAGCCUACACAGGUGCUGCAUGGCUGUCGUCAGCUCGUG
This 937-nucleotide ribosomal RNA is filed under the name uncultured organism. RNAcentral's name for it is "bacterial SSU rRNA". It matches the Rfam family "Bacterial small subunit ribosomal RNA", at positions 127 to 1064 of the family's 1533-position model. The record is from RNAcentral.